Molecule: small RNA, 164 nt
Filed under: Mumia flava
Lineage: Bacteria; Bacillati; Actinomycetota; Actinomycetes; Propionibacteriales; Nocardioidaceae
Description: c-di-AMP sequence
Rfam family: c-di-AMP riboswitch aptamer (ydaO/yuaA leader)
About the family: This family represents a conserved RNA structure found upstream of the ydaO and yuaA genes in Bacillus subtilis and related genes in other bacteria. The ydaO/yuaA element is thought to act as a genetic "off" switch for the ydaO and yuaA genes in its native state.
Source: Rfam by way of RNAcentral
CGAUCUGGAACGACGAGCGGGAGUGGGGGAACCAAUUCCGGAGACGCGGCGCCGCCGUGGCUCCUGGGGUGAAGUUCCCUGGUGCGGGCCCGUCCCGCGCCGGGAGACCGGGCACCUUCCGCCCGAACCCGACAGCUCACCUCGCAGGCGUGGCGAAGGAACUC